CCCUGCCGCGCGCUCCUUUCUGCACCGUGCCCCUGGCCCCUUUGCCCGAGCUCGUCCAUAGCCGGCUUCGAGCUCGCCGGCGUUCGGACCGUGGCUUCCUCCUCCAGCUCGGCGCCCAUCUCCCUCCUCUGCUCGACUUUCUUCCUCCCUGCCGAGCUCCUGCUUCCCCUCCGUGGAGCACCCCCCCUGCGCCCUGCUCCUGCUCCCCGAGCUCGCCCUUCUCUCGGCUUCUUCUUCCCACUUCUUCCAGCCGCGCCCCUCAGCUGCCUGCUCUGCUCGCCGCGCGCGCUCCUCCCUACCGUGUUCCUGCUCGGUGCCCAUCUCCCCGAGCUCGCCCCUGCGCCGGUCGCUUCUUUCCCUGCUCCAGCUCGCCGUGUCGUGCGGUCUCUUUCUCUCCCUCUCUCUCUUUCUCUCUGUGUGUGUCCCUGGAUUGCUCGCAUGUGUGGCCGGAGUCGCUCACCUUGAUCUCUGCGCCCAGCUCCUGUCCGCGGCGUCGCGCGCCGUGCGUCUCCCUUUUGUCAACCCGGCGUGGGCUCUAACCGUCAGCUGAGUGCUUGAUGCUCGUGCUCGGUCAUCUGCAGCAGUUCACUUGGUGUCAGCUCGCCGUGGUCAUUGUUUGCUGCUCGUGGCCGUCGUCUCCCUCUCAACAUCCACGUGGACGCUCCCUCGCCGAUCGCCCUCUUCGGAGUUUGCUGAACGCCGCUCCCAGUGGGAAAGCUUUGCAAGUUCGCGCGUCGUUGCCCUCUAUCGCCGGAUGCCAUCCUCAUCUCACCACCUCGUUGCAGUGCCGUUGUUUUCCUCGUCCAGUGCUCGCACGACCUUGCCCGAACCGUGCUGCUGUCUCCCAACCGCUUGCCCUUGCCCCCUGCACGUGCUUGUCGCGCUAGUCAACCCCACCUCGGUCAUUGUCAUCGAUACUGCGCUUGCCGGUGGCCGAAGCUCGCGUCGCCCUCUCCCUCACUGAGUUUGUGUCCUCGCCCUCGCCGGAGCUCGCGCUAACCUGCUCGACCCCACCUCACUAGUUCGCUCUAGACUCGAUCUCGUCGUCGUUCUGUAUGUCAUUAAGAAAUCUCAUGGGUCAGGCGAAGACGAAGCUAAUAGCGUGAUAUUCACUAAGUGCUCGACAAAAAGCUCGAACAAGUCGUCGAUCGUCAUCCUCGUCUACGCCAAGAUCCGAGAAGAUUAGGCGCAGAAGAAAAUAAAUCAGUACGCGAUCGGAGAAUUCUCGAUGUGGAUGAAGAUGAAGCGCGAUUCGACGCAGCACUCACCCUAUUUUCGGUGAAAUGUUGAGCUGAAAGGCAUCGUCGAUUUCGUGGUUUCAAGUCGGAUUUAAUUGAUGGUACGUGAAUUAACCACGUGAUACGGAGAACCAGAGCCGAGUCGACCACAAGAUAAUGUUACGCGUGAGCUUUUCCACAAGAUGAUGUUGACGGAUGAAACUAAAGAUGGACAGACGAAGCAAGUAUCAGAACAAAAGCUGAUCGCCACUUAACAAACACUAACGUAGUGUUUAUUCCAAGCAAGCCUCGGUGCAUUUGCCACCUCCUUGCUGUUUUAAAAUCUUUAUCACCUUGUUUGAUGCAUUAGGUGAUAAGAGUUGUGUACUAAACCGUUGAUGCAUUUCUUUCCUUGAAAAAUUGAUUACCCAUCCUUGAUACCCUUUUUGAGAAGAAUUUUAUGAUGCUUAGCCUUGCUUUAGAAAACAAAAAAAUGUUUUGUUUUAAAACAAAAGUGAUGUUUCAGUGGUUGGAAAUGUUUUC
Zea mays is the source of this 1760-nucleotide long non-coding RNA. RefSeq lists it as uncharacterized. The transcript is spliced from 2 exons. The record is from RefSeq and is marked validated. NCBI's taxonomy places the organism in Eukaryota, Viridiplantae, Streptophyta, Magnoliopsida, Poales, Poaceae.